Molecule: ribosomal RNA, 124 nt
Filed under: Chinchilla lanigera (long-tailed chinchilla)
Lineage: Eukaryota; Metazoa; Chordata; Mammalia; Rodentia; Chinchillidae
Source: RNAcentral
GUCUAUGGCCAUACCACACUGAACAUGCCCGAUCUCAUCUGACCUCAGAAGCUAAGCAGGGUAGGGCCUGGUUAGUACUUGGAUGGGAAAAAUAUUUACUAAGAACCAAUGGAAGACAAAGUUU